UUUGAUGAUUCCUAAUUCUUGUAAUUUUAGAUAAACUGGACAUAAUUGCACCCAACAAAACAUUUAAAUCUAUUGUACUUUGUAACAAAUGUCCCAAAAGGUUCUCUAAAUAUUCCAAUUUAAAAAGGCAUGUCACUAAGUUUCAUCCAGGUGAGGACAAAACUUCUAUUUAGUGCUUUUUGGCUAUUAUUGUAUCCGCUGGGAGCGUUAACUUUGACACAUGGUCACGUGGUACACUGUGGCUGUUUGUGGGACGAUCUUAUGUGUAUUCCUUAUGGGUGAAUUCCAAAAACAAGAGAUUAUUUAAAAUAUUACUAUUAAUUUUGUACAAUUGUAUCAGUACAUCAUAAGAAAUUUUAUAUAAAUACUAUAUAUAGUAGAAAUUGUCUGAUAUAAUACAUAAAUAUAAUUUCGAUAUACAAACUUACGAAGAGAUUUUUAGGUUAACAGUAACAGCCGUAAUGUGAGGUUACGACUGUCAAGGACUUCGUAAAUGGAAACAAAAGUUGCAAAGCCAGAAUUUGCUCAAUCUCAAAGCCUUUUUAAUUCCUAUAAAGUUGAAAUGUUGCUUCCUCUGCAGCUUUUUCUGCUUAAGUAUAGUGUUUUUAACAUAAUACCACCAUAAUUCGGUCUUAAAUUUCUAUGAAAUAUAGUUUUUUAGUGAUAUUCACCAAGCAAAGUUUACAAACUGGUGAACUAUUCUAUUUUGUAUAAUAAAAAUGGUAAUGUGCUUUGUCCCGGAUUGUACAAAAUAUUGUGAAAGAGGGAUAUGUAGAUUCUUUGUUGUUCCAAAAGAUCUGGUUGCAAAGAAGAAUUUCAUUACUAAGGUAAGAAAAUAUAGUGAAGAGGAAGAAUUGAAUUUAUCAUUUUAUAUGAUUCACACACGGAAAGAAUCUGUCUAUUCUUUGUUGGUUUGCUCUUGCCACUUUGUGAAUUCUGACCAACAAUUUUUGUGCACAACAAAGCCAAAGGUUUUUUGACAGACAAUCAACUUUUACAUCCAAAUUAAAUGAGUAAAGUAAGUCAUUUUACUUGAAUAUCUGUGUUGAAAUAUCUGUUACAAUGCUGUAGAGGGCAAAUCUACUUUAUAGAAUUUAUUUUCAAGGACCCAUUCUGCAUAUAGAGGUCCUCUCAUUUCGCUGAGUUGAUUUUCAUUUUAGUAUGAUAAUAUAUUUGUUGGUCCAUUUAUAUUUUCUUUGUCCGCCUAGUUCAUAAAUUCUCAAUUUUAUGAUGUAGAUAGUGAUGCCCGAUUGAAAUUCCAAAAUUUAUUUCCAUUAUCUCAAAUAUACUAAAUUUACAAUUAAGAUGCAGUAAAAUUAAACAAACCAAGACACGUUAAAUGCUGCUAAUAAGAGCACUCCUGAAUCAUAAUUUACAAUGUAUAUACACUGUAAAUCCCAAAUCAUUAUUUCCAAAGUUUAUACAUUGUAAAUUAUAAUUCACAAGUGCUCCUUGUAGCAUUUAACGUGUCUUGGUUUGUUUAUUUUUACUGCAUCUUGAUUGUAAAUUUAGUAUAGUAUUUAUUGAGAAAAUACUAUUUUAGCUUGCCAUUUUCAUUAUAAAUUAUUUCCAGUAAAACAGUCAUUCUCUUUAGAUAUUUUAUUCCAAAACAUAUUUAUUAAGUGCUUAAUUUUUUGUAAUUUUGUCUUAAUAGAAAUACCUACUUCUUUAUCUGUUAAUAUUGACCUUCAGGUAAUUUCUUUUGCUCAUAUAAAUACGAUGUUAUGUGCUGGUCUCACUCAGGUUCAUUUGUAUAGGCUCUGCCAAGUGAAACCUAAACAAACCUAGUUGGCACCCAGGAGAAGGGCAUGGCCCUAUUUCAAAUAUGAGUAUUAUAGAAAAUUAACAGUUCCCCAGGCAACCAUCCAAUGAGAAUCGUAGAAAAAGUAACAGUUCCCUACGCAACUAUCCAAUGAAAAUCUUAAGGCCAUAAUGAAUUGUAUCACCCGAAUGUCAUUCUCUAGGGGUGAGCAAGUCUCUCAGGCUGGGUUAAUUCACCAUUGCCUACUUGCAAGAGCAAUUGUCAACAUUUCUACAGUUCCACAGGUGACCAUAUUGUCUCUUUUUGGACAUACCAUCUGACACCCUCUGAAGAAGAUCUUGGGGUGUAAAUAACCCAGGACAGCACCGGAAGAAGCCGUCAGACCACAAGCUAAAUUUCUUAUUAAAAUCUAUAGCUUGCCUAUAAACAGAGACAAACUAUUUUUAUAUAAAAUAACUUUAUUAGUUCUAAAAUGUAGAUCUUGAAUUGUGACCAUAAUAAAAUGAGAAAAUAAAGUGUUUAUACCGAA
RNAcentral lists this unclassified non-coding RNA (2291 nucleotides) under Diabrotica virgifera virgifera (western corn rootworm). RNAcentral describes it as "uncharacterized LOC126890736". Lineage: Eukaryota; Metazoa; Arthropoda; Insecta; Coleoptera; Chrysomelidae. The record is from RNAcentral.